Molecule: non-coding RNA, 1086 nt
Organism: Momordica charantia (bitter melon)
Lineage: Eukaryota; Viridiplantae; Streptophyta; Magnoliopsida; Cucurbitales; Cucurbitaceae
Source: RefSeq, a predicted model, not a curated record
CCAAAAACUCCAAAAUGUUCAACCAAUUUAUUCGAGUAUAAAGCUUUUCGACUUUGUUUCUUCACAGUAUUCUUUCUAUUCGAAUCCCUUUAAGCCUCUGAACUGCCGCUGAUUCUUCUCGCCGUCUUCCAUUUGGGGUUUUGAAUCGAAGAUCCAUUUAUCAGGAUGCGAUCAGAAUACGAUCGAUUCUCUCGCCGUUCAAGAACACAACAACAAACAGAAUGUUCUUCUGGAAUUUGAGCGAGUGUUCAGCAGGUAGUUGCCGGUAUGUUGUAUCAUCUUAUACUGGAAGCCACCGAUGGUGGUAAGAAGAAGGUUUAUGAAGCCAAAGUCUGGGAGAAGCUUUGGAUGAACUUCAAAGAGUUGCAGGAAUCCAAAGCAUGCCCAUGAUGGAUCUCGAGUCUCAGAUAAAUGAAGAUAAAGAGAAGAAGAAAAUGGUAGUCAUUAUGUCGUCUCAAAAGCUGAACACAGAUUAAGGGUGCGAGACUAGUUGAUCCUCUCUUCAGUCUGCCCUUCUUUUUGGUUCUGAUUGUUCAUCUACUUGGUGGAAUUAUUGAUUGGGAGAUGGGUGGUGGUGUCAUCUAAGGUUUUUAAGGUUUGAAGGGCCCUAUCCGCUACAAAAAGAAGUUUGAAGAAGGAAGGGAGAGGAGAGUUGGUCCCAAGUUAAAGAUUUUAAGAAUGCUCUUCUGGAAUUUGAGCGGGUGUGAAGGCUAAAACAGCAGGUAGUUUCCGGUAUGUCGUAUCAUCUUACACUGGAAGCCAUCGAUGGUGGUAAGAAGAAGGUUUAUGAAGCCAAGGUCUGGGUGCAGCCAAUGAACUUCCAAGAGUUGCAGGAAUUCAACGCAUGCCCAUGAUGGAUCUCCAGGUAACUGAAGACCAUGCAUGUUCUCCCAUAUGGAUUGCUGCUGAAGGUAACAACAGAAUACACAAUUAGUUGAAUAUUGUAGGAGUGGAAGAUGAGUUGCAUGUCUUGAGCCAUGCUUAUGCUGCCAUGAAUUGUAAAAGUUAAUGUUGUUGUGAUCGUUGAAAUUUUGACACAAACAAUGACCUCGUUUUUAUCGAAAUAUCGUGUAGCUUGUUGGCCUA